CUAUUAUUCACCUUCUCUUAGUUGACAGUUCUCAUGCCCGUGGGUUUUUCUGUCACAUCAACGUAACUUUACUUUUAUUCGAUGAUAAAUGAUUCAAUAAAAUAAUUCUUUAUUCUCCUCAUAAAAAUAUGUGUUUAUUUAUUUAGAUGAAUGUCAUUUUCCCCUUUUUCCCUAACAAAAAUCCUAGGACUCCGGUCUUCGGACCUCGGUUCUAGGUUGGCGACCUUGCUCCUAGGUGGGGCUGGGGCUGGGGACGGUUCUUCAAACAAGGCCGACCGAACCGGGACAUCUCAACCUAUAUAUAUA
This is a non-coding RNA of Cinara cedri, 306 nucleotides long. NCBI's taxonomy places the organism in Eukaryota, Metazoa, Arthropoda, Insecta, Hemiptera, Aphididae. The record is from the annotation of a GenBank genome assembly.